CUGCAGUGACACAAUGUACAGCCUCUCUGCACCCAAAGGACUGUGCCUCUGAAAGUGUUAGUGGCAGAAGUUCAUUCUCUCCCCCACCCCCACCCACACGACGAGGGAAGCCUUGUCUUUGGGGAAGGAGCAAAGCUGGAGGAGGGCAGCACACGCCUUCACCGCGGCCCGGUUACUCGGCGCAGCAGCCCAAGGAAAGUGCAGCCUGUCUAUUGGUAUCCCAUCUCAGCUGCCAAUUAACUUUGUUGAUAUACAUGCCCAUAACUUACUACAAUGAGCUGCUGGAACAACUAAAAAAAAAUAAAACAUGUUGUUUUUGCCAGUGACCACAAGAGGACACAAUUUCCCAGAGAACUUAAUUUAAAAAGCUCAUAGAAGAAAGCUAACGAAAUAGCAGAAAUACCACACAAUUAAUGAGUGUCACUUUGGAAAUGUCUGGUUGAUUUAUAUGAAUUCUAUUGAAUUUAAAAAACAAACAUGCAUUAUUAUUGAAGCUUUAGAUGUUUCUAAGAUACCAUUUUUGACUUAUUGUAGGCCCCAAAUAAAAGUAUGCAUUUCUGAAAAUAUACAAAAAUGCUACUGUUGUAAUUCAAAUAAAA
This 599-nucleotide long non-coding RNA is filed under the name Ictidomys tridecemlineatus (thirteen-lined ground squirrel). RNAcentral describes it as "lncRNA (ENSSTOG00000032503.1)". The record is from RNAcentral. Lineage: Eukaryota; Metazoa; Chordata; Mammalia; Rodentia; Sciuridae.